Molecule: transfer RNA, 87 nt
Filed under: Ignavibacteriales bacterium
Lineage: Bacteria; Pseudomonadati; Ignavibacteriota; Ignavibacteria; Ignavibacteriales
Also listed under: 1 other name
Description: tRNA-Ser
Rfam family: tRNA
About the family: Transfer RNA (tRNA) molecules are approximately 80 nucleotides in length. Their secondary structure includes four short double-helical elements and three loops (D, anti-codon, and T loops).
Source: RNAcentral
GGAGAGUUGGCAGAGUGGUUGAAUGCGGCGGUCUUGAAAACCGUUAUAGGCGCAAGUCUAUCCGGGGUUCGAAUCCCUGACUCUCCG